UCCAUUUUGAUUUCAGUUAUAUUUUUUAACCUGGAGUGCUCAAUUUGUAAAUUCUGCAUUCCUCCUGGUGCCUACUUAUUAACAGACAUUGUUAACUGCACUACAUCAGUUUUUCUAUUAAGUGUUUUUUCAAUUGUGUCUGUGUGUUUGCAAACAUCUAAAUUUAAAAAAUAGGUGUUUCUAAGUGUCUCAAAAUGUUAAAUAAAGUGACUUUUGAGUUUUUCAUUCUGAUGUUACAGCUCUUGGAACAAAGCUCAAAAGCUAUAUUCAGGGAAUCGGGUGCUAACAACCGUCUAGAGACUAGCUGGAGAGAAGUUCAAUGAUGUUUGGACACCCUCUUAGGGUAGCCCUUGUGAAGAAGUGUAGAAGUUUCUUAGUGGAGAAAUGAAUAUUUGAGUUGCAAAUCUGAAUGAACCAAGAAAUGAAUAAUCUAUCUAGAAACAUAGGAUAGAGUCUUCUAAGCUAUGAGGACAGCACGAAAAAUGUAUAGAGGUAAGAGAGCCCAAAGAGUGUAAAAAACAACAAACUGUUCAAAUUUAGUUGUAUUGAAUAUUAAGGAGAAAAAAAAGACAAAGAUUGAA
This 581-nucleotide long non-coding RNA is filed under the name Macaca mulatta (Rhesus monkey). Its description in RNAcentral is "lncRNA (ENSMMUG00000056647.1)". The record is from RNAcentral. Lineage: Eukaryota; Metazoa; Chordata; Mammalia; Primates; Cercopithecidae.